This 690-nucleotide unclassified non-coding RNA is filed under the name uncultured Astraeus. RNAcentral's name for it is "sequence contains ITS1, 5.8S rRNA gene and ITS2". The stretch from base 279 to 433 matches the Rfam family "5.8S ribosomal RNA". The record is from RNAcentral. Lineage: Eukaryota; Fungi; Basidiomycota; Agaricomycetes; Boletales.
UCAUUACCGAAUUCCAAGGAGGAAAGCAGGGGGGAUAUUUCCAGUAGUAUUUCGGUAGUGCUGUUGCUGGCCUUCGGGCAUGUGCACGUCUCCGGAGUUGUAAUGGGUGAUUAUUCCCCUUGUUCCCUCUAAUACCUCUUGAACACCUGUGUGCACCUGUUGUAGGUCUCGUCACUGGGACCUAUGUAUUCCACAUUAAACUCGCAUGUAUACAGAACGCUGUCUAGUCGUGUCGUCCGGCCCCGAGGGUCGGCGACCGAAAAAUGAUAAUAUAAUAUAACUUUCAGCAACGGAUCUCUUGGCUCUCGCAUCGAUGAAGAACGCAGCGAAUCGCGAUAAGUAAUGUGAAUUGCAGAUUUUCCGUGAAUCAUCGAAUCUUUGAACGCACCUUGCGCUCCUCGGUAUUCCGAGGAGCAUGCCUGUUUGAGUGUCAUCGAAAUCUCAAAUCCUAGCUUUGCUUUGUCGGAGCUCGGUUUUGGACUUUGGGAGUCUGCGGGCGACCCUUUUGCUAAGGGAUGUCGGCUCUCCUCAAAUGCAUUAGCGGUGGGCGCGAGCCUUUGCACGGCACGGCCUGUUCGACGUCGUAGUGAUCGUCGCGGGCUGGAAGUGCUUGGGUCGAUAUGUCUCAUGCUUCUAACUAUGCACUAGCUACUAGUAAUUCUAGGAACUAGUGAAUUAAGGCUUGACCUC